RNAcentral lists this ribosomal RNA (451 nucleotides) under uncultured bacterium. Its description in RNAcentral is "partial 16S ribosomal RNA". It matches the Rfam family "Bacterial small subunit ribosomal RNA", at positions 28 to 523 of the family's 1533-position model. The record is from RNAcentral.
GAUGAACGCUGGCGGCGUGACUAAUACAUGCAAGUCGAACGAGGUCUUCGGACCUAGUGGCGAACGGGUGAGUAACACGUUGGUACCUACCCCGAAGUGGGGAAUAACUGCCCGAAAGGGUGGCUAAUACCGCAUAAUACCGCAAGGUUAAAGCAGUAAUGCGCUUCGGGAGGGGCCUGCGUCCCAUUAGCUAGUUGGUAGGGUAAUGGCCUACCAAGGCGACGAUGGGUAGCUGGAUCGAGAGGUUGACCAGCCACACUGGGACUGAGAUACGGCCCAGACUCCUACGGGAGGCAGCAGUAAGGAAUCUUCCACAAUGGACGAAAGGCUGAUGGAGCAACGCCGCGUGCAGGAUGACGGCCUUCGGGUUGUAAACUGCUUUUAUACGGGAAGAUUAUGACGGUACCGUAUGAAUAAGGACCGGCUAACUACGUGCCAGCCGCCGCAGUAA